This 253-nucleotide ribosomal RNA is filed under the name uncultured bacterium. RNAcentral's name for it is "partial 16S ribosomal RNA". It matches the Rfam family "Bacterial small subunit ribosomal RNA", at positions 524 to 776 of the family's 1533-position model. The record is from RNAcentral.
UACGAAGGGGGCUAGCGUUGCUCGGAAUCACUGGGCGUAAAGCGCACGUAGGCGGAUUGCUAAGUCAGGGGUGAAAUCCUGGAGCUCAACUCCAGAACUGCCUUUGAUACUGGCGACCUUGAGUCCGGGAGAGGUGAGUGGAACUGCGAGUGUAGAGGUGAAAUUCGCAGAUAUCAGGAGGAACACCGGUGGCGAAGGCGGGUCUCUGGGCCGUAACUGACGCUGAGGAGCGAAAGCAUGGGGAGCGAACAGG